Non-coding RNA from Paenibacillus sp. JDR-2, 176 nucleotides. NCBI's taxonomy places the organism in Bacteria, Bacillati, Bacillota, Bacilli, Caryophanales, Paenibacillaceae. The record is from Rfam.
AGUACCUUUAAAUCAGCCCCGUGAGGCUGGCAAGGUAGCGUGAAUAACAGAUCUGCCACACUUAGAACAGGGCCUUAGCCUAACCGUAUCCUGCUGGGAUAGCGGCGGUUAAGUCGACCCUCUAUGUGUGGCUGGUCUCAGGCUCCUUGCGUUGUUGGCAAGGAGCCUUUUUUCGU